RNAcentral lists this long non-coding RNA (891 nucleotides) under Penaeus japonicus. RNAcentral's name for it is "uncharacterized LOC122242139". Lineage: Eukaryota; Metazoa; Arthropoda; Malacostraca; Decapoda; Penaeidae. The record is from RNAcentral.
CUAUGAUUUUUUAUGUGAACCGGUUCUACGCUUUGGGCUUCAAGCAGUCAACAGCGGAAUAUUUAGAAGUGGUUGCAGGAUGUCUGGUGUUAACUUUGUUUCUGAUAACCUGUACAUCAUGCAUCUUUGGCAAAUAUUCGAAAUGCAAAAUGUGAGCGACAUGAACCCAAUGUCAUCACUGCAUGAAGAGCAAGAGCCAAUAAGGUGAGCUGGAUGAACCCAAUGCCAUCACUGCAUGGAGAUCAAAGGCCAACAAGGUGAGCGGGAUGAACCCAAUGUCAUCACUGCAUGGAGAUCAAAGACCAACAAGGUGAGCGGAAUGAACCCAAUGUCAUCACUGCAUGGAGAGCAAGAGCCAACAAGGUAAUGUUUAAAUAAAUGUUACAGUAAGAGACACUGUGGAUAUAGCAAGAGAUGAAGGAAAAGGAAUGUUUUUUUUUUAUGUUAUUUCUUAUUUUAGUUUUGUAAUUUAUUAAAUGGAAAUAUAGAUACUGAAUGUACCUUUAUAGACAGUGGAUUCAGUUAUUAUUAAGGGAUUUAAAGGCCUCUUUUGUUUUAAGUACUACUUGUAUAUCAUGUUAUGAAAAAAAAAGAAGUGUCAAAGCCAGUUUGGAUUAAUUCAUAUCUAUAUAACUAUCUAUUUAAACCAUUUUUAUGUCUAUUGGUUUCUUGCAUCCUGUGUGCUUAAUAUACAAUGCUAAACUAUUGUUUGUUUAAUCAGUAAAUAUAAUAUUUUGCUGUUUUCUUAGAACUGUAAACUUGACAAACAAACAUUUCCAUUACACGCUGUUUUACACUCUAUUAUGAAGGGAUGCAUGACAACUUUGUCAACCUUUUUAAAACUUCUAAUGCUUUGUGAUGCAUUUGAUUUUCUGUGCACUUUGAAUUUGA